Symphalangus syndactylus (siamang) is the source of this 9270-nucleotide long non-coding RNA. RefSeq lists it as uncharacterized. Lineage: Eukaryota; Metazoa; Chordata; Mammalia; Primates; Hylobatidae. The record is from RefSeq and is a predicted model, not a curated record.
CCCAAAGAGCUGGCGGCGUCAUUCCCAUUUUACAAAUGAGAACACAGGUUCAGAGGUGGAGCGACUCACGUUGUAAGCGAUGGAGCUGGGAUUUGAAAACACUGUAUCCCGCUUGGCAGAAAACUGGCAAGUAGGCAUCCAUAUGGUCUCUGUAUUUACCAGUGGCUGGAAGCUUGCUUUGUACAUUACUCUGCACGACACCACAUGACUGCUCCUGACAGUAAUUUGAGGAGCUUCUGAUGAUGGUAAACUUGCACAGUAUGUUCAAAACCAACCUACAAUCUGUGUUACGCCUGUAUGUUUCACAAGGAACAUGUCUGUAUAUUUCGACUCCAGAAAUAUAAUUUGUCAAACCAAUUAUCGUACCUAAAAUGUCUUGAGCUGUGUUUUAUAAUAAUUUACACAAAUGAGUUCCAUUUCAUGUAAUUAACCUAUUCCAGUGUGAUGUUUCUCACCCCAACUUUGUCAGCUCUCUUUCCAGCACAGAAACAGAGUUCCACUAACCAUCGCCAAAGGCAGGACCUGUGAACAGCUGAAGCACCUCCUGGUCUCUGCUCUGCUGAGCCUUCCAUAGCAAAUCCCAGGCAGACAGGGUCCUGAGGAUUGAUGGCACCUGGGCAGCAGGUGUGACCUUCCACAACAUUCUCUUAUGCCUCUCUGAAAGCCAGUAAUCUCCCGGCAUGGUGGCUCAUGCCUGUAACGUCAGAGUUUUGGAAAGCGGAGAUGGGAGGAUCACUUCAGGUCAGGAGUUUGAGACCAGCCUAGGCAUCAAAGUGAGCCCCUAUCUCUACAAAACAUUUUUUUUAAUUAGCCAGGUGUGGUAGUGCAUGCCUAUAAUCCCAGUUACUAGGGAGGCUGAGGCAAGAGGAUCGCUUAAGCCCAGGAGGUUGAAGCUGCAGCGAGCUGUGAUUGCACCACUGCACUGCAGCCUAGGCGAUAGAGCAAGACCCUGUCUCAAAAGAAAAAAGAAGGGCCGGGCGCGGUGGCUCACUCCUAUAAUCCAGCACUUUGGGAGGCCGAGGCGGGCGGAUCACGAGGUCAGGAGAUUGAGACCAUCCUGGCUAACACGGUGAAACCUUGUCUCUACAGGCCGGGCGCGGUGGCUCACACUUGUAAUCCCAGCACUUUGGGAGGCCGAGGUGGGUGGGUCACGAGGUCAGGAGAUCGAGACCAUGGUGAAACCCCGUCUCUACUAAAAAUACAAAAAAUUAGCCGGGCGUGGUAGCGGGCGCCUGUAGUCCGAGCUACUUGGAGAGGCUGAGGCAGGAGAAUGGCGUGAACCCGGGAGGCGGAGCUUGCAGUGAGCCGAGAUCACGCCACUGCACUCCAGCCUGGGUGACAGAGCGAGACUCUGUCUCAAAAAAAAAAAAAGAAACCCUGUCUCUACUAAAAAUAAAAAAAUCAGCCGGGCGUGGUGGCACACGCCUGUAGUCCCAGCUACUCAGUAGGGCAAGACAGGAGAAUCGCUUGAACCCGGGAAGCGGAGGUUGCAGUGAGCCGAGAUCACGCCACUGCACUCCAGCUUGGGAGACAGAGUGAGACUCGGUCUCAAAAAAAAAAGAGGAAAGAAGAAAAACAAAACAAAUGGUCAAUAAACUUACGAAAAAGUGCCCAACUACAGCUAUAAGCAGGAAAAUGCAAAUUAAACCCACAAUGAGUUGCCUGCCCGACAGGCUAAGAGAGUAGAAGUACGAGCUGGUGCCAUCACUGGGGAAAUCAGUGACAUGGCCUCAUAGAGCUGAAGCUAGGGCUGUGCUGUGGCCCAGCAGCGAUUUAGGUGCUCUACGUACACACCUUACCAGCACUCUAUGUAACAACAGCCCCAGGUGUUCAUCUGUACUGGAAUGCAUGAUCGGUGUGAUGGAGUCACAUUAGGUUGCUGUAAAAGGACUUGAGGUUUUGGCCAUUAAAAGUAAUGACAGGGCGGGUGCGAUGGCUCACACCAGUUAUCCCAACACUUUGGGAGGCUGAGGUGGGCAGAUCACUUGAGGUCAGGAGUUUGAGACCAGCCUGGGCAAAAUGGCAAAACCCUGUUUUUGCUGAAAAUACAAAAAUUAGCUGGGCAUGGUGGCACACACCCGUAAUCCCAUCUACUCAGGAGGCUGAGGCAGGAAAAUCGCUUGAACCCAGGAGGUGGAGGUUGCAGUGAGAUGAGAUCAUGCAACUACACUCCAGCCUGGGCAACAGAGCGAGACUCCGUCUCAAAAAAAAAAAAGAAAGAAAAAAAAGAGGCCAGGCACGGUGGCUCACGCCUAUAAUCCUAGCACUUUGGGAGGCCGAGGCAGGUGGAUCACCUGAGGUCAGGAGUUCGAGACCAGCCUGGCCAACAUGGCAAAACCUCAUCUCUACUAAAAAUACAAAAAUUAAUUGGGCAUGGUGGCACAUGCCUGUAAUCCCAGGUACUCGGGAGGCUGAGGCAGGAGAAUCACUUGAACCCCAACGGGGGCGGAGGUUGCAGUGAGCCGAGAUCGCACCACACCACUGCACCCCAGCCUGGGUGACAGAGUAAGACCCCUCAAAAAUAAAUAAAUAAGUAAAAGUAAUGACAAAAACCACAAUUUCUUUGGCACCAACCUAAUACAGUGUAAUAUUAUUGGUAACAAAACAAUGAAGUACAACUAAAUGCAACAACAUGAGUGAGUCUUGAACAUACGCCAAGGAGAGGAAAGCCAAACACAAAAGAAUAUAUGUGAUCCCAUUGACAUGUGAAUUUCAAAAACAGCUAAUAACUUUAUUAUAGUGUUUGAGAGUGUAUGUUUGGUAGUAAAAGUAUAAAGAUGGCGAGGCACAGUGGCUCACCCUUGUAAUCCUAGCACUUUGGGAGGCCGAGGCAGGUGGAUCACAAGGUCAGGAGUUCGAGACCAGCCUGGCCAACGUGGUGAAACCCCAUCUCUACUAAAAAUACAAAAAAUUAGCUGGGAGUGGGUGGCGUGCACCUGUAAUCCCAGCUAUUUGGGAGGCUGAGGCAGAAGAAUCGUUAAACCCAGGAGGCAGAGGUUGCUGUAAGCGGAGAUAGUGCCACUGCACUCCAGCCUGGGCAACAGAGCGAGACUCCCUCUCAAAAAAAAAAGUAUAAAGACAAGGAGGUGAUUAGCAUAAUGUUACAACAACCAGGAUGUGGAUGCCUUUGGGGCAGCAAAGGAACACAGAGGCUUGGCCGUGGCCAGCAAGAUUCUCAUGCUUGCCCUUGGUGGUGUCAGGUUUUGCUUUACAAUAAUUCACAAGAUUUAUGUCUGAUAUGCUUUUCUCUGUGUCUUAUGUUUUACAAUUAAGGAAGGGUUUUACAAAGCACAUAUGGUCCAGCCUGGCCAACAUAGUGAAACCUGUCUCUACUAAAAAAUACAAAAUUAGCUGGGCAUGGUGGUGCGGGCCUGUAGUCCCAGCUACUUGGGAAGCUGAGGUGGUAGGAUCACUUGAGCCUGGGAGGUGGAGCAACUCACCUAAUUUUACAUGAAUGGGAUAACUUAUCAAGUGACAGCAUCACACGAUUUGUGUGUGUGUGUGUGUGUGUGUGUGUGUGUGUGUGUGUGUGAUGGGGUCUUGCUCUGUCACCCAGGCUGGAGUGCAGUGGCAUAAUCAUAGCUCAUGGUAGCCUCAACCUCCUGGGCUCAAGCAAUCCUCCACACCCAGCCUCUUGAGUAGCUGCGAGUAUAGGUCUGCACCACCAUGCCUGGCUAAUCCCAGCCUCUUGAGUAGCUGGGAGUAUAGGUCUGCACCACCAUGCCUGGCUAAUUUUUUUGUUUUUUGUUUUUUGGUUUUUUUUGUGAUGGAGUUUCGCUCUUGUUGCCCAGCCUGGAGUGCGGUGGCAUGAUCUUGGCUCACUGCAAACUCCGCCUUCCAGUUUCAAGCGAUUCUCCUGCUUCAGCCUCCCGAGUAGCUGAGAUUACAGGUGCACACAACCAUGCCUUGAUAAUUUUUGUAUUUUUAGUAGAGACAGGGUUUCACCAUGUUGGCCAGACUGGUCUCAAACUCCUGACCUUGUGAUCUGCCGGCCUCGGCCUCCCAAAGUGCUGGGAUUACAGGCGUGAGCCACCGCACCCAGCCACUAAUUUUUUUUUUUUUUUUUUUUUUUUUUUUUUGAGACGGAGUCUCACUCUGUCACCAGGCUGGAGUGCAGUGGCGUGAUCUCACGAUUAUUUGAGGGAGCCUUCCUUGGAGCUCACCACAUGUAAGGGCAGACCCAGUAGCUGUUAUCAGCCCCAUCUCUCAACAGAGAGAGAAAGUAACUUGCCUAAGUUCACACAGCUAGUCAGAAUUCUUGGGUUGCUGAGGAAGGAUGAACCAUCAUAGGCUGGAAAUGAAAUAGGUCAAAACUCCUUCAAAUAAUUUUAUAAAUGUUGGCUCAACUUUUUGAGAAUGAAAAUAAUACGUCUAUUUAUAAUACUUAUUAAUUUGGUUUUACCUACAUUUUUCUUUUUUCUUUUUUUUUUGGAUACAGUCUCGCUGUUGCCCAGGCUGGAAGCUGGAGUGCAAUGGCGUGAUCUCGUCUCAUUGCAACCUCUGCCUCCUGGGUUCAAGUGUUCUUGUGCCUCAGCCUCUACAGUAGCUGGGAUUACAGGUGCCCACACCAUGCCUGGCUAAUUUUUGUAUUUUUAGUAGAGACGGAGUUUUGCCAUGUUGGCCAGGCUGGUCUCAAACUUCUGACCUCAAGUGAUCCACCUGCCACAGCCUCCCAAAGUGUUGGGAUUACAGGUAUGAGCCACUCCACCCAACCAUUAUGUACAUAUUUCAAAUCACAUUUUGUAGAGAGACUAUCUUUAGUAAAUGUUUUUCUUUUUUUGUUUUUAGAGACACAGUCUCACUAUAUUGCCCAAGCCAAAGUGCAGGUGUGAUCAUUGCACAUGACAGCCUCAAACUCCUGGGCUCUAGCAAUCUUCCUGCCUCAGCCUCCUGAGUAGCCAGCUGCAGAUCAGUAGUGGGACUCUGCUGGUGAAUAGCCAUUGCAACCUGGGCAAUAUGGCAAGACGUUGUAAUCCCAGUACUUUGGGAGGCCUGGGCAGGUGGGUGGAUCACUUGAAGUCAGGAGUUUGAGACCAGCCUGUUCAACAUGGCAAAACCCCAUCUUUACUAAAAAUGCAAAAAUUAGCCAGGCAUAGUGGUGAGCGCCGGUAAUCCCAGCUACUCAGGAGGCUGAGGCAGAAGAAUCGCUGUAAGAUAAAAGCCUAUAAGAUAAAAAACAAGUUGGUUACUUCCAAUAUACAAUGGUGGUACCAGCAAUGGGUAAACAUUCCCAUUCCAAAAGGGAGAAAUUGGCCAACAGAAAGAGGUAACAGUCUCCAGGCAAGUCUGAAACCCAGCAGGGCAGACAUUAAGCCUUAAAGCUUAAUCUCCCUUUACUCCAUGUCAAGGGAGAGCCCCCAUGACUGCUGUCCCAGGUUAGAGUCUGCUGCCUGUGGCUUUUCCAGGCUGAGGAUGCCAGCUGCUGGUGGAUCUACGUUUCUUGGGUCUGAUCUGGAGGGUAGUGGUCCCCUUCCCACAGCUGCACUAGGCAGUGCCCCAGUGGGGCCUCUGUGUGUGGGAUCCAACACCACAUUUCCCCUCAGCACUCCCCUAGUAGAGUCUCUCUGCAGGGGCUCCAUCUCUGCUGCAGGCUUCUGCCUGGGCACCUGGGCUUUCUGAUACAUCCUGUGAAAUCUAGGUGGGAGCUGUUAAGCCUCCUUCACUCUUGCGUUCUGUGCACCUGCAGGUUUAACACCAUGUGGAAGCUGCCAAGUCUUAUAGAUUGUGCCUUUAGGAGUAGCAGUUCAGUUAGAUCUGGGACCUUUGGGCUGUGGCUGGAGCUGGAGAGCCAAAAUGUAGGAAGCAGUGUCCUGAGGCUGCACAGGACAGUGGAGCCCUGGGCCUGGCCCCUGAAGCCAUGCUUUCCUCCUAAGCCUCUGGGCCUAUGAUGGGAGGGGCUGUCCUGAAGACUUCCAAAAUGGCUUCCAGGCCUGUUUUCCAUUUCUUGACUCUUAGCACUUGGCUCCCUUUUAGUCAUGUAAAUCUCUCUACCAAAUGAUUGUUCCACAAGCUCCUUGAAUUCCACCCCCAAAAAUGUUCUUUCCUUCUCUACCUAACACAUGGCCAGGCUGCAAAUUUCCAAACUUUUCUGCUCUGCUUCCCAUUUAUUUCUUUACUUAUAUAUUUAUUGAGAUGGAGUUUUGCUCUUGUUGCCCAGGCUAGAGUGCAGUGGCACAGUCUCAGCUUACUGCAACCUCCGCCUCCCAGGUUCAAGUGAUUCUCCUGCCUCAGCCUCCCGAGUAGCUGGGAUUACAGGCAUCCGCCACCACGCCUGGCUAAUUUUGUAUUUUUAGUAGAGGCAGGGUUCCACCAUGUUGGUCAGCCUGGUCUUGAACUCCUGACCUCAGGUGAUCUGUCUGCCUCAGCCUCCUAAAGUGCUGGGAUUACAGGCGUGAGCCACCACGCCUGGCUGUUUAUUUAUUUUUUUGAGACAGAGUCUCACUCUGUCACCCAGGCUGGAGUGCAGUGGCAUAAUCUCGGCUCAUUGCAACCUCCGCCUCUUGAGUUCAAGUGAUGCUCCUGCCUCAGCCUGCCACAUACCUGGGAUUACAGCACAUGCCACCAUGCCCGGGUAAUUUUUGUAUUUUUUUGGUAGAGAUGGGGUUUCACCAUGUUGGCAAGGCUAGUCUUGAACUCCUGACCUCAGUUGAUCCGCCCACCUUGGCCUCCCAAAGUGUUGGAAUCACAGGCGUGAGCCACCGCGUCUGCCUUUUUUUUUCUUUCGAGACAGAGUCUUGCUCUGUCACCCAGGCUGGAGUGCAGUGGUGCUAUCUCGGCUCAUUGCAACCUCCGCCUCUCAAGUUCAAGUGUUUCUCUUACCUCAGCCUCCCGAGUAGCUGGGACUACAGGCAUGCGCCACUACACCCAGCUAUUUUUUCUGUAUUUUUAGUAAAGAUGAGGUUUUACCAUGUUCCCCAGGCUGGUUUCGAACUCCUGAACUGAAGCGAUCUGCUUGCUUUGGCCUCCCAAAGUGCUGGGAUUACAGCCAUGAGCCACCACACCCAGCCAGGAUUACAUUUUCCAUACGAGACCAGUGUAUACAUUACAGCAAUUUUAUUGGUGUAAUUUCAAGGAAGAUAAUUUAUUACUCCCUCUGUAGGGAUCGUAAUCUGUGAGAGUCUUAUCUCUGGCUCCAUUUAGUCUUCCUAAUUAUUUAUUUAUUAAAAACAGUUUUAUAGAGACAGGGUCUCUCUGUGUUGUCCUGGCUGGUCUGGAACUCCUGGGAUCUAGCCAUUCUCCUGCCUCAGCCUCCCAAAGCAGUGGGUAUAGGCAUGAGCCACCACACCCGGCCUAGUCUUCCUAAUUAUUUAUAGAAAAAAAAGGCGGAAGUUGCCAGGCGCGGUGGCUCAUGCUUGUAAUUCCAACACUAUGGGAGGCCAAGGCGGGUGAUCACAAGGUCAGGGGUUCGAGACCAGCCUGGCCAACAUGGUGAAACCCCAUCUCUACUAAAAAUACAAAAAUUAGCUGGGCAUGGUGGUGGGCGCCUGUAAUCCCAGCUACUCAGGAGGCUGAGGCAGGAGAAUCACUUGAACCCGGGAGGCGGAGGUUGCAGUGAGCUGAGAUCGUGCCAUUGCACUCCAGCCUGGGUGACAAAGCAAGACUCUGUCUCAAAAAAAAAAAAAAAAAAAAAGCUGCAUGCCAUGUGAGUCAAGCCACCUAGCCACAUUCCUCUCAAGGGUCAGAAUAAUUUAAAAUUCCAACAGCUGUAAAUUUGAAUUCUUUCACAUACUGAACUGUCAAAAACCCAGUCAUUGUCCCUUCGAGCUCAUCAGCUCAGCAGCAGGCUGGGACAGAUGCCUGGGAUGACAUGAAUUCCUCCUGUUCCUUCUGUCUUUCUUUAAACAAGUCACCAGGGGCCAUAUCCAUGCCCCGUGGUGGGUAAAUGGUGUUGUGUCCCUAAAGACCUCCCGCUCAAGGCUGUCUCUGGCCAGGAAUGUGGAUUUCUUAAUGCACAGUUUGACCAGCUCCUUCACUGCCAGGCAUAGAUCUUUGGGUAUUGUAAGUGUUCAGUAAGCGCCCGUGAAAGGUCAGAGAUGGGGGCAGACGGUGGAAGUGAUUCAGAGAAACAAGAAGGAGAAUUUGAUUGCGGUAUGAAAAGGCUUCCACAAGCAGCCAAAGAUAAAAUAUGCCUAUUGAUCUGCAGGAUGUUAAAUUAAUAAAACGGCCAGGCGCGGUGGCUCACGCCUGUAAUCCCAGCACUUUGGGAGGCCGAGACGGGCAGAUCAUGAGGUCAGGAGAUCGAGACCGUCCUGGCUAACAUGGUGAAACCCCGUCUCUACUAAAAAUACAAAAAAUUAGCUGGGUGUGGUGGCGGGCACCUGUAGUCCCAGCUACUUGGGAGGCUGAGGCAGGAUAAUGGUGUGAACCCGGCGGAGCUUGCAGUGAGCUGAGAUCACACCACUGCACUCCAUCCUGGGCAACAGAGUGAGACUCCGUCUCGCCGGGCGCGGUGGCUCACACUUGUAAUCCCAGCACUUUGGGAGGCCGAGGCGGGCGGAUCACGAGGUCAGGAGAUCGAGACCACGGUGAAACCCCGUCUCUACUAAAAAUACAAAAAAAUUAGCCGGGCGUGGUGGCGGGCGCCUGUAGUCCCAGCUACUCGGAGAGGCUGAGGCAGGAGAAUGGCGUGAACCCGGGAGGCGGAGCUUGCAGUGAGCCGAGAUUGCGCCACUGCACUCUAGCCUGGGCAACAGAGCGAGACUCCGUCUCAAAAAAAAAAAACAAAAACAAAAAACAGAGUGAGACUCCGUCUCAAAAAAAAAAAAAAAGAAAAACAUAGGCCAGGCACAGUGGCUCAUGCCUGUAAUCCCAGCACUUUGGGAGGCUGAGGCGGGCAGAUCACGUAAGGUGAGGAGUUCGAGACCAGCCUGGCCAACAUGGCGAAACCCCGUCUCUACUAAAAAUAGAAAAGUCAGCCAGACAUGAUGGCACGCACCUGUAAUCCCAGCUACUCAGGAGGCUGAGGCAGGAGGAUUGCUUGAACCCUGGAGAUGGAGGCUGCAGAAGGUUGCAGUGAGCCAAAAUCAUGCCACUGCACUCCAGCCUGGGUGACACAGCAAGACGGUCUCAAUAAUAAUAAUAAUAAUAAAAACUUUAAAAAAAAGAGGUUUGAGGCAGCUGUUCACUCCAUCUGCCACAUGGUGGCACAGCAAGCGGGCAACUAUGAAGCAAGAGUGAGCCCUGACUAAGCAUCGAAUCUGCUGGGGCCUUGCUAUUGGACUUCCCAGUCUCUAGAACCAUGAGAAAUAAAUUUCUAUCAUUUAUAAAUUA